Molecule: long non-coding RNA, 1246 nt
Filed under: Chinchilla lanigera (long-tailed chinchilla)
Lineage: Eukaryota; Metazoa; Chordata; Mammalia; Rodentia; Chinchillidae
Description: lncRNA (ENSCLAG00000026905.1)
Source: RNAcentral
GCAGGAGGGCCCUGGUGAGAGUGUGUGAGGGCGUGUCGCUCCUUCGCUCCGUGGGGACCACGCCUGUGGCAUCCCGUGACUGACCCAGCCGUGACCUUUGGGGUCUGGGUGCUUUCCAGGCGCUGCCUCGCUGUCCCCAAAAGCUUCUGGAGGAGUUUCCAGCGACCCAGUCCUCAGAGCCCCGGGGCACGCGGAGCUCUGCUCCCACCCGUGACCCAUGUCCUGGCACUGCCCGUCGCUCCUGGGAACCUCUGUCCCCUUCUCCUCCUGAUACUGUGCACGCGGAAGGCGUCUGGGGCAGGCCGGGGCCUGGGGUCCCCAUGGGUCACUCCGCAGCCGCUGGCUGUCACAGGAGCUCACACCCUUCCCGGCCUGCACCUGGGCAGGAGGGGCGCCAUCCCGCUCCCAGAGUGACCGUGUUCACCCUGGGUCUCAGGCACUUUGCUCUCCUGCAGGCCCCUGGUGACACUGACAGAGAAACAGCAGGUGGGCCUAGCAUGGCGCCAGCCUUGGCUUUGGUGACAAGGAGGCUCCAGGGUCCUCUCUGGAACCUGAUUUUACGUCAUUGGCUGUCCAGGCUCAGUAACGCACGGUGGCUCCAAGGCCCCAGGUCGUCCUCGUCCUCCCUGCACCGGAGUCUGUGCACCCCGACUUCGUCACUGCGGAGCAAAUCUGUAGCCGUGGCACCCACAGCUGGGCAGCAGCCACAGGGCCGAGGAGGCAGUAGCAGCUGCCCCUGCCACGCCUAGCCACCUGGACCUGUCCCCCAGAUGUCUGCUUGGCAUUUCCAAAGUCCCAGCUGUCCUGAUCGUAGGUGACCUGAGAGUCUCAAAGCUUAGACACUCACGCCCUAGUCUGAGUUUCGAGGUAGAUGUUGAUGCAAACCAAGAUUUGAAAACUCAGUAUUUCUCUCUUUUGCCUUUAAGUUUCCCAGCAUGAAGAUUAAUGAAUGUAAAGAAAGUAGAGAGAAACUACCUUUUCCAAGUCUCUGAAGGCCACAGCCGCCUCUCACAUCCUAUAGCUUUGUUUGGGUUUGGAUUUUGUCUUUUUGAGACAGGUUCUCACUAUGCAGUUCAGGCUGGCCUUGAACUCACCGCGUAGCCCAGGCUGGUCUCGAACUCGCAGAGAUCCUCCUGCCUCAGCCUCCCAAGUGCUGGGAUUGUAGAUGUCCACCACCACACCUACUUUUCUGACUCAGUUGUUCCUCUUUAAAUUAAGCAUUCUUGUAAUACCUCCAGCUUUGGGG